Non-coding RNA from Arachis ipaensis, 292 nucleotides. NCBI's taxonomy places the organism in Eukaryota, Viridiplantae, Streptophyta, Magnoliopsida, Fabales, Fabaceae. The record is from RefSeq and is a predicted model, not a curated record.
AACUUAGAUUGAAAAAAAUUACUUGACAGGCAAAGAGAGAAGUGAGAAUUGACAUUGACUCCUCCAAAAUAAGCAUGAAUAUGUCACUUAAUACAAAGUCAUACAUAGCAAACAUAAUACAGAAUUCUUAGCAUUACCGAACAAUAAUAAACAAAAAAAAUGCAUUCUAGAAGACUAUAAAUGACCUUAACGAUUACAAUUCACCUAAAUUGCAGCUGAGGGAACAAAUGUGAUCAUGUAUAUGCUAAAAAUUCUUUAAGUUUAACAAAGAAUAAGUUUCAAUAAUAAGAAA